Molecule: ribosomal RNA, 1466 nt
Filed under: uncultured organism
Description: SSU rRNA
Rfam family: Bacterial small subunit ribosomal RNA
Source: RNAcentral
GAACGCUGGCGGCAGGCCUAACACAUGCAAGUCGAACGGUAACAGAAAGCAGCUUGCUGCUUUGCUGACGAGUGGCGGACGGGUGAGUAAUGUCUGGGAAACUGCCUGAUGGAGGGGGAUAACUACUGGAAACGGUAGCUAAUACCGCAUAACGUCGCAAGACCAAAGAGGGGGACCUUCGGGCCUCUUGCCAUCGGAUGUGCCCAGAUGGGAUUAGCUAGUAGGUGGGGUAACGGCUCACCUAGGCGACGAUCCCUAGCUGGUCUGAGAGGAUGACCAGCCACACUGGAACUGAGACACGGUCCAGACUCCUACGGGAGGCAGCAGUGGGGAAUAUUGCACAAUGGGCGCAAGCCUGAUGCAGCCAUGCCGCGUGUAUGAAGAAGGCCUUCGGGUUGUAAAGUACUUUCAGCGGGGAGGAAGGGAGUAAAGUUAAUACCUUUGCUCAUUGACGUUACCCGCAGAAGAAGCACCGGCUAACUCCGUGCCAGCAGCCGCGGUAAUACGGAGGGUGCAAGCGUUAAUCGGAAUUACUGGGCGUAAAGCGCACGCAGGCGGUUUGUUAAGUCAGAUGUGAAAUCCCCGGGCUCAACCUGGGAACUGCAUCUGAUACUGGCAAGCUUGAGUCUCGUAGAGGGGGGUAGAAUUCCAAGUGUAGCGGUGAAAUGCGUAGAGAUCUGGAGGAAUACCGGUGGCGGAGGCGGGCCCCCUGAACGAAGACUGACGCUCAGGUGCGAAAGCGUGGGGAGCAAACAGGAUUAGAUACCCUGGUAGUCCACGCCGUAAAUGAUGUCGACUUGGAGGUUGUGCCCUUGAGGCGUGGCUUCCGGAGCUAACGCGUUAAGUCGACCGCCUGGGGAGUACGGCCGCAAGGUUAAAACUCAAAUGAAUUGACGGGGGCCCGCACAAGCGGUGGAGCAUGUGGUUUAAUUCGAUGCAACGCGAAGAACCUUACCUGGUCUUGACAUCCACGGAAGUUUUCAGAGAUGAGAAUGUGCCUUCGGGAACCGUGAGACAGGUGCUGCAUGGCUGUCGUCAGCUCGUGUUGUGAAAUGUUGGGUUAAGUCCCGCAACGAGCGCAACCCUUAUCCUUUGUUGCCAGCGGUCCGGCCGGGAACUCAAAGGAGACUGCCAGUGAUAAACUGGAGGAAGGUGGGGAUGACGUCAAGUCAUCAUGGCCCUUACGACCAGGGCUACACACGUGCUACAAUGGCGCAUACAAAGAGAAGCGACCUCGCGAGAGCAAGCGGACCUCAUAAAGUGCGUCGUAGUCCGGAUUGGAGUCUGCAACUCGACUCCAUGAAGUCGGAAUCGCUAGUAAUCGUGGAUCAGAAUGCCACGGUGAAUACGUUCCCGGGCCUUGUACACACCGCCCGUCACACCAUGGGAGUGGGUUGCAAAAGAAGUAGGUAGCUUAACCUUCGGGAGGGCGCUUACCACUUUGUGAUUCAUGACUGGGGUGAAGU